RNAcentral lists this long non-coding RNA (767 nucleotides) under Vitis vinifera (wine grape). RNAcentral's name for it is "long non-coding RNA (VVIN_LNC003601)". Lineage: Eukaryota; Viridiplantae; Streptophyta; Magnoliopsida; Vitales; Vitaceae. The record is from RNAcentral.
GAUAUGGAUAUUAUCAGAUUAUCAGUUUAGCUUCUCUUCAUCAUCUUCUUCUUCUUUCUUGCAGCUUUCCUCAAACUCCUCAUCACACCCUUGUUUGGGAUUCUCUAGAGCCCUCUUCUCCUGCUCUUCCUCUUCCACUUCUGUUGAGUUCUUCUCCCUUGCACUCCUCCAAUUCUCCUUCUUCCUCCUCUCCGCCAUGUUCCUCAAUGCCUCCAGCAGCUCGCUCAAGGCCUUGUCUUUGUGCCGCCGGUUCUUUAUCAGCACUUCACUGAUAUCCGCCGGAGUCAUCUGGGCUUUGUCUAUUACCGCUUCUAUCUCCUCCAUUAUCUGCAACCCCAUGUCGGGUUCGCUGAACCCCAGGUAAUUCUGGAGCAGAAUCUUCAAUGCCGGGAAGGUGCAGUAGCUCAUGAAUAUGUGCAUGUCCAUCCGGCCGCUCCGGAGCAAUGCAGGGUCGAGCUUCUCAAUGUGGUUGGUGGUGAACACGAAAAUCCUCUCGCUCCCGCAGCACGACCACAGCCCGUCAGUGAAGUUCAGGAGGCCGGAGAGCGUGAUCGAGUUCACACCAUCCUCGCCGGCGCCGGCGCCGCCUCCACCGCGCAUUUCAUGGGGGGUGCCGUCGUAGCCCUGCCUCCCGCCCGAAUUGCUCUUCUUCCUGUUGCCGAGGUUGAUGGAGCAGUCGAUGUCCUCGAUCACGAUUAUCGAUUUGGAACUGGUUUUCAUCAGGAGCUUCCGCAGCUCGGAAUUGGUGUGCACCUCCGUCAAUUCCA